UACGUAGGUGGCAAGCGUUGUCCGGAUUUACUGGGCGUAAAGAGCGCGCAGGCGGUCGUUCAAGUCGCGUGUGAAAGCCCCCGGCUCAACUGGGGAGGGUCACGCGAUACUGAUCGACUCGAAGGCAGGAGAGGGAAGUGGAAUUCCCGGUGUAGUGGUGAAAUGCGUAGAUAUCUGGAGGAACACCGGUGGCGAAGGCGGCAUCCUGGACCAUUACUGACACUGAAUAGCGAAAGCCAGGGGAGCAAACGGG
This 253-nucleotide ribosomal RNA is filed under the name uncultured bacterium. Its description in RNAcentral is "partial 16S ribosomal RNA". It matches the Rfam family "Bacterial small subunit ribosomal RNA", at positions 524 to 776 of the family's 1533-position model. The record is from RNAcentral.